GUGGGGAAUUUUGGACAAUGGGCGCAAGCCUGAUCCAGCAAUGCCGCGUGCAGGAAGAAGGCCUUCGGGUUGUAAACUGCUUUUGUACGGAACGAAACGGUCCUGGUUAAUACCUGGGGCUAAUGACGGUACCGUAAGAAUAAGCACCGGCUAACUACGUGCCAGCAGCCGCGGUAAUACGUAGGGUGCAAGCGUUAAUCGGAAUUACUGGGCGUAAAGCGUGCGCAGGCGGUUUUGUAAGACAGGCGUGAAAUCCCCGGGCUCAACCUGGGAAUUGCGCUUGGGACUGCAAGGCUGGAGUGCGGCAGAGGGGGAUGGAAUUCCGCGUGUAGCAGUGAAAUGCGUAGAUAUGCGGAGGAACACCGAUGGCGAAGGCAAUCCCCUGGGCCUGCACUGACGCUCAUGCACGAAAGCGUGGGGAGCAAACAGGAUUAGAAACCCUUGUAGUCC
RNAcentral lists this ribosomal RNA (450 nucleotides) under uncultured bacterium. Its description in RNAcentral is "partial 16S ribosomal RNA". It matches the Rfam family "Bacterial small subunit ribosomal RNA", at positions 354 to 796 of the family's 1533-position model. The record is from RNAcentral.